RNAcentral lists this ribosomal RNA (304 nucleotides) under uncultured bacterium. Its description in RNAcentral is "partial 16S ribosomal RNA". It matches the Rfam family "Bacterial small subunit ribosomal RNA", at positions 509 to 809 of the family's 1533-position model. The record is from RNAcentral.
CAGCAGUCGCCGCGGGAAUACAGAGGGUGCGAGCGUUAAUCGGAUUUACUGGGCGUAAAGCGUGCGUAGGCGGCUUCUUAAGUCGGAUGUGAAAUCCCUGAGCUUAACUUAGGAAUUGCAUUCGAUACUGGGAAGCUAGAGUAUGGGAGAGGAUGGUAGAAUUCCAGGUGUAGCGGUGAAAUGCGUAGAGAUCUGGAGGAAUACCGAUGGCGAAGGCAGCCAUCUGGCCUAAUACUGACGCUGAGGUACGAAAGCAUGGGGAGCAAACAGGAUUAGAUACCCCGGUAGUCCCUGUCUCUUAUAA